RNAcentral lists this ribosomal RNA (229 nucleotides) under uncultured bacterium. RNAcentral describes it as "partial 16S ribosomal RNA". It matches the Rfam family "Bacterial small subunit ribosomal RNA", at positions 15 to 235 of the family's 1533-position model. The record is from RNAcentral.
GAUCCUGGCUCAAGACGAACGCUAGCUACAGGCUUAACACAUGCAAGUCGAGGGGCAGCAUGGUCUUAGCUUGCUAAGGCCGAUGGCGACCGGCGCACGGGUGAGUAACACGUAUCCAACCUGCCGUCUACUCUUGGACAGCCUUCUGAAAGGAAGAUUAAUACAAGAUGGCAUCAUGAGUUCACAUGUUCACAUGAUUAAAGGUAUUCCGGUAGACGAUGGGGAUGCG